ACGGCACUCUUAAUUUUUGUCGUGUAAACGGUGACAAGAUAGGUCCGCGUGCCCAAAAUUUUUGGCGGGCCGAGACCAUCGCCAGAGGUAGUCUCGGCCCGCCAAAAAAGCAGCACGCGGACCCAAAAUUAAUUACGCAUGCGCUAUUGGCUUUUGCUUCGAAGUAACUAUACAAUAUCAAUAUGGCGUCUGCUGAAAAGAAAACGAGAGGCACGUUAUGGCCUGACAAUGCGACAAAAUGCCUAAUACAGUUGUGGUCGGAGGAGACAAUACAGGUUUCUUUAGAUUCCUGUAAAACAUCUCGUCAAACUUCCAGUGUUUACCAAAUAUUACUGGUGAGUAUUCAUGAAAAUUGUGAAUAUUUAAAGUUUUAUUUCUAUUCAAUGUUACCUAACCUAAUAGCCAUGCAUGUAAAUAGCGGGACAGAAUAUAUAGUUAACUAUCGUAUUCCCUCUAUAAUUUUAAGACCAUGUUUUAUACUGUUGUUGUUAAUAGUUACAGUAAUACACGGGGCAAUUUUUGCUGCAACGUGCAAUGCAAAUAUUUCGGAUACAGAGCCAUGUUAUAAAAAAGUAGUAAGUCACAUAGAAAGUGUGGGCAGGCCCGCUUUCUAUUCAGCCAACAAUUUCUUGACAUAACAUACUACCAAGGGAUGAAAAUUAAAGAAAUGGCAUGAAGAAUGUUGGCAGAUCGACUCACAAUUUCCCUGCCAUUCCUUUUUAGUUUUUAGAAACAUGGCUCUGUGUCAGAAAUUGCAUUGCAAUUUGCAACAAAAAUUACCUCGUGUAACAUGACUUUUAGCCUGGGGGCUUAAUAGAGGCUGGGACUAACUUUUUAAUAUUACUCAUCAUUUAAUUAAGAAGCAUUUCAAUACAUUUUACAGGUAAACCACAUGAACUGAUGUUCAAGUGUUCCUAACCCAUUUGGAAUUUUCCUAAUUAUAUAUACCAGUCCUGUAAUUUUCCUAAAACGUUGUUGCAAAUCCUUUGAAGUAAUUUGCAAUGUUCCUAAGCCAAUUAAAUGUCCCUCACUGCAGGUGCAGUUGCACUACCAUAGUAAGUAUAUAAAAAAGGGAUUAUUCAAAUUAUUAUUCAAAAUAUAAUUCCCAUAAACAUCGAUACACUGCUAUUAAUAUACAGUAUAUUAACUGAAACAGUACAAACCGGAAAGACUGAAAUUUUUUUAUAUAAACUGGGUGGGCCAGCAUAUGUAAAAGAUGUUAUAAAACCAACACAAAUAUUUGUUCUUUGUACCGGUACCAGAUUUUGAUUGUAAUUGUAAUGUCAAUUACAAAGGAAUUUACAUGCGAAAGUAAAGUUUGUAACAUGCAAAAGGAAUCUUCGGAUUCAACUUUUCUAGAAACUUUAAACAGGAAGUGAG
Molecule: long non-coding RNA, 1380 nt
Filed under: Paramuricea clavata
Lineage: Eukaryota; Metazoa; Cnidaria; Anthozoa; Malacalcyonacea; Plexauridae
Source: RNAcentral